Molecule: ribosomal RNA, 2903 nt
Filed under: Klebsiella quasipneumoniae
Lineage: Bacteria; Pseudomonadati; Pseudomonadota; Gammaproteobacteria; Enterobacterales; Enterobacteriaceae
Description: 23S ribosomal RNA
Rfam family: Bacterial large subunit ribosomal RNA
Source: RNAcentral
GGUUAAGCGACUAAGCGUACACGGUGGAUGCCCUGGCAGUCAGAGGCGAUGAAGGACGUGCUAAUCUGCGAAAAGCGUCGGUAAGGUGAUAUGAACCGUUAUAACCGGCGAUGUCCGAAUGGGGAAACCCAGUGCAAUUCGUUGCACUAUCGUUAACUGAAUACAUAGGUUAACGAGGCGAACCGGGGGAACUGAAACAUCUAAGUACCCCGAGGAAAAGAAAUCAACCGAGAUUCCCCCAGUAGCGGCGAGCGAACGGGGAGCAGCCCAGAGUCUGAAUCAGCUUGUGUGUUAGUGGAACGGUCUGGAAAGUCCGACGGUACAGGGUGAUAGUCCCGUACACCAAAAUGCACAGGCUGUGAACUCGAAGAGUAGGGCGGGACACGUGGUAUCCUGUCUGAAUAUGGGGGGACCAUCCUCCAAGGCUAAAUACUCCUGACUGACCGAUAGUGAACCAGUACCGUGAGGGAAAGGCGAAAAGAACCCCGGCGAGGGGAGUGAAAAAGAACCUGAAACCGUGUACGUACAAGCAGUGGGAGCACCUUUAUGGUGUGACUGCGUACCUUUUGUAUAAUGGGUCAGCGACUUAUAUUCUGUAGCAAGGUUAACCGUAUAGGGGAGCCGCAGGGAAACCGAGUCUUAACUGGGCGUUAAGUUGCAGGGUAUAGACCCGAAACCCGGUGAUCUAGCCAUGGGCAGGUUGAAGGUUGGGUAACACUAACUGGAGGACCGAACCGACUAAUGUUGAAAAAUUAGCGGAUGACUUGUGGCUGGGGGUGAAAGGCCAAUCAAACCGGGAGAUAGCUGGUUCUCCCCGAAAGCUAUUUAGGUAGCGCCUCGUGAACUCAUCUUCGGGGGUAGAGCACUGUUUCGGCUAGGGGGUCAUCCCGACUUACCAACCCGAUGCAAACUACGAAUACCGAAGAAUGUUAUCACGGGAGACACACGGCGGGUGCUAACGUCCGUCGUGAAGAGGGAAACAACCCAGACCGCCAGCUAAGGUCCCAAAGUCAUGGUUAAGUGGGAAACGAUGUGGGAAGGCACAGACAGCCAGGAUGUUGGCUUAGAAGCAGCCAUCAUUUAAAGAAAGCGUAAUAGCUCACUGGUCGAGUCGGCCUGCGCGGAAGAUGUAACGGGGCUAAACCAUGCACCGAAGCUGCGGCAGCGACACGAUGUGUUGUUGGGUAGGGGAGCGUUCUGUAAGCCUGCGAAGGUGACCUGUGAGGGUUGCUGGAGGUAUCAGAAGUGCGAAUGCUGACAUAAGUAACGAUAAAGCGGGUGAAAAGCCCGCUCGCCGGAAGACCAAGGGUUCCUGUCCAACGUUAAUCGGGGCAGGGUGAGUCGACCCCUAAGGCGAGGCCGAAAGGCGUAGUCGAUGGGAAACAGGUUAAUAUUCCUGUACUUGGUGUUACUGCGAAGGGGGGACGGAGAAGGCUAUGUUAGCCGGGCGACGGUUGUCCCGGUUUAAGCAUGUAGGCUGGUUAUCCAGGCAAAUCCGGAUAAUCAAGGCUGAGGUGUGAUGACGAGGCACUACGGUGCUGAAGUAACAAAUGCCCUGCUUCCAGGAAAAGCCUCUAAGCAUCAGGUAACAUCAAAUCGUACCCCAAACCGACACAGGUGGUCAGGUAGAGAAUACCAAGGCGCUUGAGAGAACUCGGGUGAAGGAACUAGGCAAAAUGGUGCCGUAACUUCGGGAGAAGGCACGCUGGUGUGUAGGUGAAGUCCCUGCGGAUGGAGCUGAGACCAGUCGAAGAUACCAGCUGGCUGCAACUGUUUAUUAAAAACACAGCACUGUGCAAACACGAAAGUGGACGUAUACGGUGUGACGCCUGCCCGGUGCCGGAAGGUUAAUUGAUGGGGUUAUCCGUAAGGAGAAGCUCUUGAUCGAAGCCCCGGUAAACGGCGGCCGUAACUAUAACGGUCCUAAGGUAGCGAAAUUCCUUGUCGGGUAAGUUCCGACCUGCACGAAUGGCGUAAUGAUGGCCAGGCUGUCUCCACCCGAGACUCAGUGAAAUUGAACUCGCUGUGAAGAUGCAGUGUACCCGCGGCAAGACGGAAAGACCCCGUGAACCUUUACUAUAGCUUGACACUGAACAUUGAGCCUUGAUGUGUAGGAUAGGUGGGAGGCUUUGAAGCGUGGACGCCAGUCUGCGUGGAGCCAACCUUGAAAUACCACCCUUUAAUGUUUGAUGUUCUAACGUUGGCCCCUUAUCGGGGUUGCGGACAGUGUCUGGUGGGUAGUUUGACUGGGGCGGUCUCCUCCCAAAGCGUAACGGAGGAGCACGAAGGUUAGCUAAUCCUGGUCGGACAUCAGGAGGUUAGUGCAAUGGCAUAAGCUAGCUUGACUGCGAGCGUGACGGCGCGAGCAGGUGCGAAAGCAGGUCAUAGUGAUCCGGUGGUUCUGAAUGGAAGGGCCAUCGCUCAACGGAUAAAAGGUACUCCGGGGAUAACAGGCUGAUACCGCCCAAGAGUUCAUAUCGACGGCGGUGUUUGGCACCUCGAUGUCGGCUCAUCACAUCCUGGGGCUGAAGUAGGUCCCAAGGGUAUGGCUGUUCGCCAUUUAAAGUGGUACGCGAGCUGGGUUUAGAACGUCGUGAGACAGUUCGGUCCCUAUCUGCCGUGGGCGCUGGAGAAUUGAGGGGGGCUGCUCCUAGUACGAGAGGACCGGAGUGGACGCAUCACUGGUGUUCGGGUUGUCAUGCCAAUGGCACUGCCCGGUAGCUAAAUGCGGAAGAGAUAAGUGCUGAAAGCAUCUAAGCACGAAACUUGCCCCGAGAUGAGUUCUCCCUGAGACUUUAAGUCUCCUGAAGGAACGUUGAAGACGACGACGUUGAUAGGCCGGGUGUGUAAGCGCAGCGAUGCGUUGAGCUAACCGGUACUAAUGAACCGUGAGGCUUAACCUU